GAUCAUGGCUCAGGAUGAACGCUAGCGACAGGCUUUAACACAUGCAAGUCGAGGGGGCAGCGAGGGCGUAGCAAUACGCCUGUCGGCGACCGGCGCACUGGUGAGUAACACGUAUGCGACCUGCCCCCUACAGGGGUAUAACCCGUAGAAAUGCGGACUAAUCCCCCAUAGUCCUGGGUGCUGCAUGGCAUUCAGGGGAAAGGCCAGCCGGUAGGGGAUGGGCAUGCGGCGCAUUAGCUAGUUGGCGGGGCAACGGCCCACCAAGGCGACGAUGCGUAGGGGUUCUGAGAGGAAGGUCCCCCACACUGGUACUGAGACACGGACCAGACUCCUACGGGAGGCAGCAGUGAGGAAUAUUGGUCAAUGGGCGCAGGCCUGAACCAGCCAAGUCGCGUGAGGGAGGACGGUCCUACGGAUUGUAAACCUCUUUGUCGGGGAGUAACGUGCGGGACGCGUCCCGUAUUGAGAGUACCCGAAGAAAAAGCAUCGGCUAACUCCGUG
This 501-nucleotide ribosomal RNA is filed under the name uncultured bacterium. RNAcentral's name for it is "bacterial SSU rRNA". It matches the Rfam family "Bacterial small subunit ribosomal RNA", at positions 15 to 507 of the family's 1533-position model. The record is from RNAcentral.